AAUGCUAAUGUGAUCUGGGUGCUAAAAAGAACUAUUGCCAUGCAGUGUUAGCAGUCAUAGGAACAAUAUGAUUGGGUAACAGACUCAUUGGGCUUGUCUAGAUCUGGCAUAUGAUUUGGCAGUAUGACUGCCCAUGUCCACUACAGCAUGACUGCAUUUUCUAACCAUUCAUUUAGUAUGCUCUUGAAAUGAUGACUUGGUAAAAAAUCUUAUAUAUUGACCCUUUAAAAUGGACAUCUAUUAUGAAACAUUUCAUGGGGAAGGACUCUUUCAUUGGCAAGGGAGUUUUAAAAAAUUGAGGCAAGAUGAUAAUACAUUUAUAUAGGAUAUUGAUGAAGAU
Molecule: unclassified non-coding RNA, 340 nt
Filed under: Hevea brasiliensis (rubber tree)
Lineage: Eukaryota; Viridiplantae; Streptophyta; Magnoliopsida; Malpighiales; Euphorbiaceae
Source: RNAcentral